GACGAACGCUGGCGGCGUGCUUAACACAUGCAAGUCGAACGGAAAGGCCCUGCUUUUGUGGGGUGCUCGAGUGGCGAACGGGUGAGUAACACGUGAGUAACCUGCCCUUGACUUUGGGAUAACUUCAGGAAACUGGGGCUAAUACCGGAUAGGAGCUCCUGCUGCAUGGUGGGGGUUGGAAAGUUUCGGCGGUUGGGGAUGGACUCGCGGCUUAUCAGCUUGUUGGUGGGGUAGUGGCUUACCAAGGCUUUGACGGGUAGCCGGCCUGAGAGGGUGACCGGCCACAUGGGGACGGAGAUACGGCCCAGACUCCUACGGGAGGCAGCAGUGGGAAAUAUUGCACAAUGGGCGGAGGCCUGAUGCAGCAACGCCGGGUGGGGGAUGACGGCCUUCGGGUUGUAAACCGCUUUCGCCUGUGACGAGGCGUGAGUGACGGUAAUGGGUAAAGAAGCACCGGCUAACUACGU
RNAcentral lists this ribosomal RNA (467 nucleotides) under uncultured bacterium. Its description in RNAcentral is "partial 16S ribosomal RNA". It matches the Rfam family "Bacterial small subunit ribosomal RNA", at positions 28 to 506 of the family's 1533-position model. The record is from RNAcentral.